GAUGAAGAACGUAGCGAAAUGCGAUAAGUAAUGUGAAUUGCAGAAUUCAGUGAAUCAUCGAGUCUUUGAACGCACAUUGCGCCCCCUGGUAUUCCGGGGGGCAUGCCUGUCCGAGCGUCAUUGCUGCCCUCAAGCACGGCUUGUGUGUUGGGCUCCGUCCUCCCGGGGACGGGCCCGAAAGGCAGCGGCGGCACCGAGUCCGGUCCUCGAGCGUAUGGGGCUUUGUCACCCGCUCUGUAGGCCCGGCCGGCGCCAGCCGACAACCCAUCAUCCUUUUCAGGUUGACCUCGGAUCAGGUAGGGAUACCCGCUGAACUUAAGCAUAUCAAUAAGCGGAGGA
RNAcentral lists this unclassified non-coding RNA (339 nucleotides) under soil metagenome. Its description in RNAcentral is "partial contains 5.8S ribosomal RNA, internal transcribed spacer 2, and large subunit ribosomal RNA". The stretch from base 1 to 120 matches the Rfam family "5.8S ribosomal RNA", at positions 35 to 154 of the family's 154-position model. The record is from RNAcentral.